This 407-nucleotide unclassified non-coding RNA is filed under the name Hevea brasiliensis (rubber tree). The record is from RNAcentral. Lineage: Eukaryota; Viridiplantae; Streptophyta; Magnoliopsida; Malpighiales; Euphorbiaceae.
GGUUUCUGUCCUUGUCCACUAAAAUAGCCCUGCAACCCUCGAAGAAAUCCUUGCUGACUUCUUUCUUCAAUACAUGGCAAAUCAUUCUGUAUUCCCGAAUCAGGCACUGACCUAUGCGCUGAAGCCGCCCUUCUCUUAUCGAUCUGAGAAAGAUUUUAAGACUGGUUGGUGAUGCCUUCUUCAACGACUGAAUUGCAGCAGUAAGCCACUCGUCAGCUCCAGAGACAGCCUCUUCCUCAAGAGCAGAUAAAAUUUCUUCGACGGAUUGUUUUGAGAAGCAUUUGUCAAUUAUAUCCAAUUUAUUAUACGCACUGCUUUCCUUCAGAGGUACCCGUCGUGAAAAUUGAUCAAUGAUUGUACAAACAGCAAAAGGAUCGGAACUCUCCACCUUCACAAGCAUGUCUUCG